AGUGAACGCUGGCGGUAGGCCUAACACAUGCAAGUCGAACGGCAGCACAGUAAGAGCUUGCUCUUACGGGUGGCGAGUGGCGGACGGGUGAGGAAUACAUCGGAAUCUACUUUUUCGUGGGGGAUAACGUAGGGAAACUUACGCUAAUACCGCAUACGACCUACGGGUGAAAGCAGGGGAUCUUCGGACCUUGCUCGAUUGAAUGAGCCGAUGUCGGAUUAGCUAGUUGGCGGGGUAAAGGCCCACCAAGGCGACGAUCCGUAGCUGGUCUGAGAGGAUGAUCAGCCACAAUGGAACUGAGAAACGGUCCAGACUCCUAGGGGAGGCAGAAGUGGGGAAUAUUGGACAAUGGGCGCAAGCCUGAUCCAGCCAUACAGCGUGGGUGAAGAAGGACUUCGGGUUGGAAAGCCCUUUUGUUGGGAAAGAAAAGCAGCAGGAUAAUACCCCGCUGUUCUGACGGUACCCAAAGAAUAAGCACCGGCUAACUUCGUG
Molecule: ribosomal RNA, 492 nt
Filed under: uncultured bacterium
Lineage: Bacteria
Description: partial 16S ribosomal RNA
Rfam family: Bacterial small subunit ribosomal RNA
Source: RNAcentral